RNAcentral lists this transfer RNA (77 nucleotides) under candidate division WWE3 bacterium CG_4_10_14_0_2_um_filter_41_14. RNAcentral's name for it is "tRNA-Lys". It matches the Rfam family "tRNA". From Rfam's summary of the family: Transfer RNA (tRNA) molecules are approximately 80 nucleotides in length. Their secondary structure includes four short double-helical elements and three loops (D, anti-codon, and T loops). Further hydrogen bonds mediate the characteristic L-shaped molecular structure. tRNAs have two regions of fundamental functional importance: the anti-codon, which is responsible for specific mRNA codon recognition, and the 3' end, to which the tRNAs corresponding amino acid is attached (by aminoacyl-tRNA synthetases). tRNAs cope with the degeneracy of the genetic code in two manners: having more than one tRNA (with a specific anti-codon) for a particular amino acid; and 'wobble' base-pairing, i.e. permitting non-standard base-pairing at the 3rd anti-codon position. RNAcentral also lists the same sequence under 1 other name. Lineage: Bacteria; candidate division WWE3. The record is from RNAcentral.
GGGCUUGUAGCUCAGUUGGUUAGAGCACCGGCCUUUUAAGCCGGGUGUCGUGGGUUCGAAUCCCACCGAGCCCACCA